This 253-nucleotide ribosomal RNA is filed under the name uncultured bacterium. RNAcentral's name for it is "partial 16S ribosomal RNA". It matches the Rfam family "Bacterial small subunit ribosomal RNA", at positions 524 to 776 of the family's 1533-position model. The record is from RNAcentral.
UACGAAGGGGGCUAGCGUUGCUCGGAAUCACUGGGCGUAAAGGGUGCGUAGGCGGUUCUUUAAGUCAGAGGUGAAAUCCUGGAGCUCAACUCCAGAACUGCCUUUGAUACUGAGGAUCUUGAGUACGGGAGAGGUGAGUGGAACUGCGAGUGUAGAGGUGAAAUUCGUAGAUAUUCGCAAGAACACCAGUGGCGAAGGCGGCUCACUGGCCCGUUACUGACGCUGAGGCACGAAAGCGUGGGGAGCAAACAGG